Molecule: transfer RNA, 76 nt
Filed under: Candidatus Amesbacteria bacterium RIFCSPHIGHO2_01_FULL_48_32b
Lineage: Bacteria; Candidatus Amesiibacteriota
Also listed under: 1 other name
Description: tRNA-Glu
Rfam family: tRNA
About the family: Transfer RNA (tRNA) molecules are approximately 80 nucleotides in length.
Source: RNAcentral
GGCGCUAUCGUCUAGAGGCCCAGGACACCAGGUUCUCAUCCUGGUAACCCCGGUUCGAAUCCGGGUAGCGUCACAA